GACGAACGCUGGCGGCGUGCUUAACACAUGCAAGUCGAACGGAAAGGCCCUGCUUUUGUGGGGUGCUCGAGUGGCGAACGGGUGAGUAACACGUGAGUAACCUGCCCUUGACUUUGGGAUAACUUCAUGAAACUUGGGCUAAUACCGGAUAGGAGCUCCUGCUGCAUGGUGGGGGUUGGAAAGUUUCGGCGGUUGGGGAUGGACUCGCGGCUUAUCAGCUUGUUGGUGGGGUAGUGGCUUACCAAGGCUUUGACGGGUAGCCGGCCUGCGAGGGUGACCGGCCACAUUGGGACUGAGAUACGGCCCAGACUCCUACGGGAGGCAGCAGUGGGGAAUAUUGCACAAUGGGCGGAAGCCUGAUGCAGCAACGCCGCGUGCGGGAUGACGGCCUUCGGGUUGUAAACCGAUUUCGCCUGUGACGAAGCGUGAGUGACGGUAAUGGGUAAAGAAGCACCGGCUAACUACGUG
Molecule: ribosomal RNA, 468 nt
Filed under: uncultured bacterium
Lineage: Bacteria
Description: partial 16S ribosomal RNA
Rfam family: Bacterial small subunit ribosomal RNA
Source: RNAcentral